Molecule: ribosomal RNA, 301 nt
Filed under: uncultured bacterium
Lineage: Bacteria
Description: partial 16S ribosomal RNA
Rfam family: Bacterial small subunit ribosomal RNA
Source: RNAcentral
CAGUAGCCGCGGGAAUACGUAGGUGGCAAGCGUUGUCCGGAAUUAUUGGGCGUAAAGGGCUCGCAGGCGGUUUCUUAAGUCUGAUGUGAAAGCCCCCGGCUCAACCGGGGAGGGUCAUUGGAAACUGGGAAACUUGAGUGCAGAAGAGGAGAGUGGAAUUCCACGUGUAGCGGUGAAAUGCGUAGAGAUGUGGAGGAACACCAGUGGCGAAGGCGACUCUCUGGUCUGUAACUGACGCUGAUGAGCGAAAGCGUGGGGAGCGAACAGGAUUAGAUACCCCGGUAGUCCCUGUCUCUUAUAC